RNAcentral lists this ribosomal RNA (253 nucleotides) under uncultured bacterium. RNAcentral describes it as "partial 16S ribosomal RNA". It matches the Rfam family "Archaeal small subunit ribosomal RNA", at positions 474 to 727 of the family's 1478-position model. The record is from RNAcentral.
UACCAGCACCCCGAGUGGUCGGGACGUUUAUUGGGCCUAAAGCAUCCGUAGCCGGUUCUACAAGUCUUCCGUUAAAUCCAACUGCUUAACAGGUGGGCUGCGGUAGAUACUAUAGAGCUAGGAGGCGGGAGAGGCAAGCGGUACUCGAUGGGUAGGGGUAAAAUCCGUUGAUCCAUUGAAGACCACCAGUGGCGAAGGCGGCUUGCCAGAACGCGCUCGACGGUGAGGGAUGAAAGCUGGGGGAGCAAACCGG